Molecule: long non-coding RNA, 665 nt
Organism: Daktulosphaira vitifoliae (grape phylloxera)
Lineage: Eukaryota; Metazoa; Arthropoda; Insecta; Hemiptera; Phylloxeridae
Exons: 3
Source: RefSeq, a predicted model, not a curated record
AUCUGCAAAAAUUAUAAUAAUUUUAAUGCUAUUAGGGGUAAAUUUGUUUAAUCUAUCAAAAAAUAUAUUUUAAUUACGUUUUAAAAUCAAAUUCGUUCAAAAUUUACAGACCCUGUUAUUUUUUUAGUCUUGAUAAGUAUAAAAAGCCAACAUAAUCAACAAAAAAAGUUUAAAAAGUAGAACUUUUUCUUCAUGCAUCUUGCAUGAAUAGCUGGUAAGUGUGUCCCAAGACAUGGCUUCAAAAUUGUUUAAAAUAUACACAUUUAAGACAUAUUUUCCUAAAUUUGGAAUUUUGAAAAAAAAAUCAAGUUUUGUGGACUUUUCUUCUUGGACUAGUGCAGUAAAAUUGCCCAUCUACAAAAAAAGUUUGUGACAUGUCUGGUCAUUGCAACUAUGCAUUUAAGGAUGACUUGGCAUCAUUGUAUUUAAUAUAUGAUAAUAAUACAGAAGAACCAAAUCUGAUAAAUCACUCAUUUUCUCAGAAACUAUUAUUAUGAAUUUAAAAUGUUUGUAAAGAAAAAAAAAUAUUUGGUUUAAAAACACUUCAAUGAUAUGUAGUAAAAUAAUAUAUAUUUUAAUCCGUUCAAAGAUAAAAACCCUAUCUUUCAAUAAAUGUUAAAUACAUUAAAAGCCGUGCCUACGUCUUAAAAUAUAUUGCAACUGAU